Molecule: unclassified non-coding RNA, 139 nt
Filed under: soil metagenome
Description: partial internal transcribed spacer 1
Source: RNAcentral
CAAGAAACGAGGCUACGUGCCCCGCUCUUUACCUUGCCUACUGCACUAUCUGUUGCUUCCUGGCGGCGGUUUGCCUGCCGCCAGGGACAUUGUAAAGCCCUGUACUAAGCAUUAAAAAACUGAAACAAACCGAAUCGUA